RNAcentral lists this ribosomal RNA (258 nucleotides) under uncultured bacterium. Its description in RNAcentral is "partial 16S ribosomal RNA". It matches the Rfam family "Bacterial small subunit ribosomal RNA", at positions 524 to 776 of the family's 1533-position model. The record is from RNAcentral.
UACGUAGGGUGCGAGCGUUUGUCCGGAAUUAUUGGGCGUAAAGAGCUCGUAGGCGGUGUGUCACGUCGGCCGUGAAAACCUGCAGCUUAACUGUGGGCGUGCGGUCGAUACGGGCAUCACUGGAGUUCGGCAGGGGAGACUGGAAUUCCUGGUGUAGCGGUGAAAUGCGCAGAUAUCAGGAGGAACACCGGUGGCGAAGGCGGGUCUCUGGGGCCGAUGAUCUGACGCUGAGGAGCGAAAGCGUGGGGAGCGAACAGG